RNAcentral lists this ribosomal RNA (466 nucleotides) under uncultured bacterium. RNAcentral's name for it is "bacterial SSU rRNA". It matches the Rfam family "Bacterial small subunit ribosomal RNA", at positions 28 to 507 of the family's 1533-position model. The record is from RNAcentral.
GACGAACGCUGGCGGCGUAGCUUAAAACAUGCAAGUCGAACGGACUUCUCAUGAAGCUUGCGAUUGAGAAGUUAGUGGCGGACGGGUGAGUAACGCGUGGGCAACCUGCCCCUGAGCCCGGGAUAACAGUUCGAAAGGACUGCUAAGACCGGAUAUACUUGCGGUGAAGCAUUUCACUGCAAGGAAAGGGAACGCUCAGGGAUGGGCCCGCGUCCCAUUAGCUAGUUGGUGAGGUAACGGCCCACCAAGGCGACGAUGGGUAGCCGGCCUGAGAGGGUGAACGGCCACACUGGGACUGAGACACGGCCCAGACUCCUACGGGAGGCAGCAGUUGGGAAUCUUCGGCAAUGGGCGCAAGCCUGACCGAGCAACGCCGCGUGAGUGAUGAAGGUUUUCGGAUUGUAAAGCUCUGUCUUCCGGGACGAUAAUGACGGUACCGGAGGAGGAAGCCACGGCUAACUACGUG